UAUCUUGGAUGACGCGAGGCAGGUCUUCAAACUUGUUUCUAGUUUUCCUAUUUUUAAUUAGGGUUAGUUAAAUAAGUUUUCUACUUUAUCUAGAAUUUAGUUCUUCCUAUUUUAUUUAGAUUUCCUAUUGCACUUUUGACUCAGUGCGAAGUAUUAUGAGGAGCUUAAAGUACCACUUAGUUUAGGAUUUCUAUUAUUAUUUG
RNAcentral lists this unclassified non-coding RNA (203 nucleotides) under Hevea brasiliensis (rubber tree). Lineage: Eukaryota; Viridiplantae; Streptophyta; Magnoliopsida; Malpighiales; Euphorbiaceae. The record is from RNAcentral.